UUCUGGGUUAUUCUUUGAGUUCUAUGCUUUAAUCUUGUUGUUAGAGUUCCAACCUUCUACUGUUUCUGCGAUUUUUUUGCUUAGAGUUCUCUGAUUUUCGUGCCUAUUGUGUUUAAUAUGUCUAAUUAUUCAUUGUUCACCAAAUAUUCUGCUGAUUUUGUGCAUCUCUUCGAAUCCCAGAUUUUUUAUAUGUUUUCCUUAGAAGUUUUUCACUGAUUUUGAAUCACUUCCUUAUUUGUGAGAUGCUUUCCUUACUCAGAACUAAUUCCUUAUGAUUUUAGUCUCAUAUGCGAUUCUUUGACUUAUUUUUAGAAUUAAGUUAUAUUUUUGCCAUAUUUAUGCGCAUAAACAUACUUUCAAAUAUUCAUUAUAUAUUUUCCUUAUUUGAAAUGUUAUGUAUUUGGUACUUAUUACAUGUUACGUGCUUUACUAAUCCGAUUAUGGUAGAUUUAGUAGUCUAAGUGAUUCAUUCCUUAUCUGAUAUAACUUGUGCCCAUUCGAAUCAUGGCUCCCCAGUUAAAAGAAGUUUGGUCCUGUGAUUGAUUCCAAUUGGUAUUGUUUCCAUAAUUGUGUUAAGUCAGUACUUGUUACCCUAUUCUCUAUUUGUUUUCAAAACUAUAAAUACUCUACCCUCUCUUUAGCAUAAAACACGAACAACACAUACAAGUAUACUCACUGUUCUCUCUUACUUUCAUGCACAUUCUCUCUUGCUUCUCUUAUUGACUACUGGUUACCAGUCGGCUGAAAGCCAAGACUGAAUAAUUUGUUACUCUACUGUUUUAUUUCUCUAUAAAUUGCUUCUCUCUUGGUCCGCACAGUGCUGCUCUAUUAUCUCACUCUUGACUGGUAUGUUUUCUAUUUGAUUUACAACUUCCAAAACAACAUAUUUUUAUGCAUAAUGCACUUUCUCUUAUUUCUUUUAUGCUUCUAUUUAUGUUUAUGCUGUUUACCUUGCAAUUAGCGUGCCUCUUUUCUAGUUCAUUGAUGUGAUUACCCUUCACUUAAUUCAGCAUGUCUACUGCUUCUCUUACUUGUUUAAUGCAGUUCUUCCUUACUCCCUAACCCCAAUACAUUAUCAGAAUUUGUUCAUGACCCUUUCUAGCUACCAAGUGUUCCUGAACCUCUUCCAUGAACAUUUUGGGAUGAAAUGUGUUGUGAUUGUUUAAGUCCUGAAAUGCCUUCUCUGAUGUCUAUGUAUGUGCAACUAUGCUCUUACAUGUGAACUACUUGUCCCUUUUCCCCUUUCCCAGUUUGUGUUUGCUUUCCUGAACUAUGUGUGAUAUUCUAGUUAUGAGAUUGUCCUACUCACCUUCUAACAAAACUGUCAUACUCUUCUACUAUUUUCUUUCAAGAACUGAUUCUAUAUGGAUCAUAUUCAAACUGUUUCUCUCAACUCAAUUUCUUUAAAACUAUAUCACGCACUCUCACUACUCUUAGAGAUUAGUUCUACCCCCUCAGUGUAAGCAUUGCUUUUGGUACCUCUGAGUACUCACAGAACUUUGAUGCACAAGGUUGUUAAUUCCAU
This 1525-nucleotide long non-coding RNA is filed under the name Nicotiana benthamiana. Its description in RNAcentral is "long non-coding RNA (NBEN_LNC031786)". Lineage: Eukaryota; Viridiplantae; Streptophyta; Magnoliopsida; Solanales; Solanaceae. The record is from RNAcentral.